Molecule: long non-coding RNA, 198 nt
Organism: Engraulis encrasicolus (European anchovy)
Lineage: Eukaryota; Metazoa; Chordata; Actinopteri; Clupeiformes; Engraulidae
Exons: 3
Source: RefSeq, a predicted model, not a curated record
UAGCAUUGUCCCAGUUUGUCAGAUCGCGCGGCCUCCGACCCCACAACACCGGGCAGGUCCGCCAUGCGGCCGCUGGGCUGGUUCUGCAGCCGUCUUUUCAAGACUUUCUCUUACAGAGCCCAGAUGUUACAAUGGACUAUCCUGGACUUUUUUGAUGAAAUCAAAGGGAAACUUAUGGGAGACUACGACCCAUUGCAG